AUGGUGCGGCUUAGGUUAACUAAUACGAAUAAGAUACAGUUCACUCAACGAUUGCCCUUGGGUCCCAAACUCCAUAUGGGGAAGGAACGUUGUUGUUUGCGAGGUCUCGAUCAUUUACAUGGACCCACUUCUCAUUCUAUUUGUGGGAAUUUGAUGAUUUGUAAACCGUCCCCAACGAGCGAAAGGUUCAUGUUUGAACAUGAUCAAUCACUUCGUGCCGACCUGUUGCCCAUAAACUUUCCUGCCUCAUAUGAGAAUGGAAAACUGGAAGAUUUUCUGCAUCGGUGGAUGAAGAAUCACGAACAUAAGAAUUUCUGGUUUAGCAUGUUCCCAGAAAGAAGAUACUUUUUUUCCAUUCGAGAAAUGAGGAGCACGACUGAAGUGGCUAUACAUACAAAUCCAUUUACGGAUCUAUAUGCUCCGAUUGGAACUGGAAGUUCCAGAACUAGCGAAGUUCACUGA
RNAcentral lists this ribosomal RNA (462 nucleotides) under Triticum aestivum (bread wheat). RNAcentral describes it as "partial small subunit ribosomal RNA". The record is from RNAcentral. Lineage: Eukaryota; Viridiplantae; Streptophyta; Magnoliopsida; Poales; Poaceae.